GACGAACGCUGUCGGCGUGCUUAACACAUGCAAGUCGAACGGAAAGGCCCUGCUUUUGUGGGGUGCUCGAGUGGCGAACGGGUGAGUAACACGUGAGUAACCUGCCCUUGACUUUGGGAUAACUUCAGGAAACUGGGGCUAAUACCGGAUAGGAGCUCCUGCUGCAUGGUGGGGGUUGGAAAGUUUCGGCGGUUGGGGAUGGACUCGCGGCUUAUCAGCUUGUUGGUGGGGUAGUGGCUUACCAAGGCUUUGACGGGUAGCCGGCCUGAGAGGGUGACCGGCCACAUUGGGACUGAGAUACGGCCCAGACUCCUACGGGAGGCAGCAGUGGGGAAUAUUGCACAAUGGGCGGAAGCCUGAUGCAGCAACGCCGCGUGCGGGAUGACGGCCUUCGGGUUGUAAACCGCUUUCGCCUGUGACGAAGCGUGAGUGACGGUAAUGGGUAAAGAAGCACCGGCUAACUACGUGCCAGCAGCCGCGGUGAUACGUAGGGUGCGAGCGUUGUCCGGAUUUAUUGGGCGUAAAGGGCUCGUAGGUGGUUGAUCGCGUCGGAAGUGUAAUCUUGGGGCUUAACCCUGAGCGUGCUUUCGAUACGGGUUGACUUGAGGAAGGUAGGGGAGAAUGGAAUUCCUGGUGGAGCGGUGGAAUGCGCAGAUAUCAGGAGGAACACCAGUGGCGAAGGCGGUUCUCUGGGCCUUUCCUGACGCUGAGGAGCGAAAGCGUGGGGAGCGAACAGGCUUAGAUACCCUGGUAGACCACGCUGUAAACGGUGGGUACUAGGUGUGGGGUCCAUUCCACGGGUUCCGUGCCGUAGCUAACGCUUUAAGUACCCCGCCUGGGGAGUACGGCCGCAAGGCUAAAACUCAAAGGAAUUGACGGGGCCCCGCACAAGCGGCGGAGCAUGCGGAUUAAUUCGAUGCAACGCGUAGAACCUUACCUGGGUUUGACAUGGAUCGGGAGUGCUCAGAGAUGGGUGUGCCUCUUUUGGGGUCGGUUCACAGGUGGUGCAUGCCUGUCGUCAGCUCGUGUCGUGAGAUGUUGGGUUAAGUCCCGCAACGAGCGCAACCCUUGUUCACUGUUGCCAGCACGUUAUGGUGGGGACUCAGUGGAGACCGCCGGGGUCAACUCGGAGGGAGGUGGGGAUGACGUCAAGUCCUCAUGCCCCUUAUGUCCAGGGCUUCACGCAUGCUACAAUGGCUGGUACAGAGAGUGGCGAGCCUGUGAGGGUGAGCGAAUCUCGGAAAGCCGGUCUCAGUUCGGAUUGGGGUCUGCAACUCGACCUCAUGAAGUCGGAGUCGCUAGUAAUCGCAGAUCAGCAACGCUGCGGUGAAUACGUUCCCGGGGCU
Molecule: ribosomal RNA, 1346 nt
Filed under: uncultured bacterium
Lineage: Bacteria
Description: bacterial SSU rRNA
Rfam family: Bacterial small subunit ribosomal RNA
Source: RNAcentral